This 434-nucleotide ribosomal RNA is filed under the name uncultured Lachnospiraceae bacterium. RNAcentral describes it as "partial 16S ribosomal RNA". It matches the Rfam family "Bacterial small subunit ribosomal RNA", at positions 341 to 792 of the family's 1533-position model. The record is from RNAcentral. Lineage: Bacteria; Bacillati; Bacillota; Clostridia; Lachnospirales; Lachnospiraceae.
ACGGAAGGCAGCAGUGGGGAAUAUUGGACAAUGGGGGAAACCCUGAUCCAGCGACGCCGCGUGAGUGAAGAAGUAUUUCGGUAUGUAAAGCUCUAUCAGCAAGGAAGAAAAUGACGGUACUUGACUAAGAAGCUCCGGCUAAAUACGUGCCAGCAGCCGCGGUAAUACGUAUGGAGCAAGCGUUAUCCGGAUUUACUGGGUGUAAAGGGAGCGUAGACGGCAAAGCAAGUCUGAAGUGAAAUCCCGGGGCUCAACCCCGGAACUGGUUUGGAAACUGUUUAGCUAGAGUGCAGGAGAGGUAAGCGGAAUUCCUAGUGUAGCGGUGAAAUGCGUAGAUAUUAGGAGGAACACCAGUGGCGAAGGCGGCUUACUGGACUGUAACUGACGUUGAGGCUCGAAAGCGUGGGGAGCGAACAGGAUUAGAUACCCUGGUA